RNAcentral lists this transfer RNA (16 nucleotides) under Crotalus scutulatus (Mojave rattlesnake). RNAcentral describes it as "partial tRNA-Ser". The record is from RNAcentral. Lineage: Eukaryota; Metazoa; Chordata; Lepidosauria; Squamata; Viperidae.
GAGAGGUCCAGAAGAC